RNAcentral lists this transfer RNA (72 nucleotides) under Coemansia erecta. RNAcentral's name for it is "tRNA-Pro". It matches the Rfam family "tRNA". From Rfam's summary of the family: Transfer RNA (tRNA) molecules are approximately 80 nucleotides in length. Their secondary structure includes four short double-helical elements and three loops (D, anti-codon, and T loops). Further hydrogen bonds mediate the characteristic L-shaped molecular structure. tRNAs have two regions of fundamental functional importance: the anti-codon, which is responsible for specific mRNA codon recognition, and the 3' end, to which the tRNAs corresponding amino acid is attached (by aminoacyl-tRNA synthetases). tRNAs cope with the degeneracy of the genetic code in two manners: having more than one tRNA (with a specific anti-codon) for a particular amino acid; and 'wobble' base-pairing, i.e. permitting non-standard base-pairing at the 3rd anti-codon position. RNAcentral also lists the same sequence under 4 other names. Lineage: Eukaryota; Fungi; Kickxellomycota; Kickxellomycetes; Kickxellales; Kickxellaceae. The record is from RNAcentral.
GGCUCAGUGGUCUAGAAGUAUGAUUCUUCGUUCGGGUCGAAGAGGUCCCGGGUUCAAUUCCCGGCUGAGCCC